This is a long non-coding RNA of Haemorhous mexicanus (house finch), 1094 nucleotides long. RefSeq lists it as uncharacterized. The record is from RefSeq and is a predicted model, not a curated record. NCBI's taxonomy places the organism in Eukaryota, Metazoa, Chordata, Aves, Passeriformes, Fringillidae. The transcript is spliced from 2 exons.
CGUGCCCCGCCGGCUCCGCGCCGGGCCCGCCCCGCCCCGCCCUCCGUGGGUGCCCGGCCCCCGGCACAGCGCGAAAUGUCCCUGGGCUGGGCCCCUUCCCCUGGGAGGGGCAGCCGAAGGCGUCGCCCCGCCCGUGAGUCGCCCACCGCCUCCCGGGGGCCCCAGGGGGCUCAGCGCCUGCCGCGCCCCCGGUGUCGGAUGUCUUCGCCCUUCGCGACACAAAAUAAAGCCGUAGCGAGGGGCGGGUCACGGCCGCAGACUAUUCACAGACCACAGGAAAACAGAGACUGAAGACUACCUGAAUCUCCUCCUCCAACAUUUCUUAUCUCUGAGCACAUCGGAAAAUUUCUUACUCCUGCCCUUUAAUUGUUCAAAAACAGUAUGUGGAUUUGGAUCCCAGGUCAUUUUCUCUUAUGCUUUCACCCAUAUAACACCGAAAGGUUAUUUGCCAGCAUACCUUAUCAACUUAACCCACUCCGGAGAAAGAAAGAGGUUUUGGUUUUUAAACAGAAUCUUGGUUCAGUGCUCUGGCUUAGGGAAGCAGAUGCAAAUUUUUAAAACCCCACAAAUUCCAAGCAGCAUAAUGUUACAGAUGGAUAAUGAGAUGACUGGCUCUCACUAUUAAAAGAUAACUAUUGUGUUUAGUGGUGUAUAGUUGGGUUAUUGUAGUUUAAAUGUCCUCUGUUCUCCCCGUAGUUCCCUUCCCCCCCCCCCGUAUUGUUGCUGUCAGACAGCCUGGCUUGUCUAGCACAGGUAAAAAGAAGGCUGCAUGUGUGCCCAUUGUACGGGGCAGUUGGGAAUGGAAAGCUUGUUGCUUAGGGGGUGCGGCGUGGCAACACCUGACCUCCAAUCAAGUUACAAGAAAGCAGUUUUCACCGAUAAAUGGCAAAGAAGAGCUGACUGACCGACUUUGGGAGGGGCCAGGGUUAGCUGAUGCAACCCCCCCAGGGGUAUAAAAGACUGAGCAUCCAUCUUGAAGAUGAACUGGCCACGUGGUGUGCAUGAGGGGCAGUUGCCGGCACUGCAGCUUUUUCCUUAUGUAGUCCUUGGUUUAUUAAACCUUAACAAAAAUACAACAUUUUUAAAUUUUCAAA